RNAcentral lists this transfer RNA (82 nucleotides) under Obba rivulosa. It matches the Rfam family "tRNA". Rfam says of the family: Transfer RNA (tRNA) molecules are approximately 80 nucleotides in length. Their secondary structure includes four short double-helical elements and three loops (D, anti-codon, and T loops). Lineage: Eukaryota; Fungi; Basidiomycota; Agaricomycetes; Polyporales; Gelatoporiaceae. The record is from Rfam by way of RNAcentral.
GGCCGGCUGGCCUAAUGGUUAAGGCGUCAGUUUCCGGUUACAUGUUAGCUGAAGAUUCUGGGUUCGAAUCCCAGGUUGGUCG